RNAcentral lists this ribosomal RNA (303 nucleotides) under uncultured bacterium. RNAcentral describes it as "partial 16S ribosomal RNA". It matches the Rfam family "Bacterial small subunit ribosomal RNA", at positions 507 to 807 of the family's 1533-position model. The record is from RNAcentral.
AGCAGUCGCCGCGGUAAUACGAAGGGGGCUAGUGUUGCUCGGAAUCACUGGGCGUAAAGGGUGCGUAGGCGGGUUUCUAAGUCAGGGGUGAAAUCCUGGAGCUCAACUCCAGAACUGCCCUUGAUACUGGAAGUCUUGAGUAUGGGAGAGGUGAGUGGAACUGCGAGUGUAGAGGUGAAAUUCGUAGAUAUUCGCAAGAACACCAGUGGCGAAGGCGGCUCACUGGCCCAUAACUGACGCUGAGGCACGAAAGCGUGGGGAGCAAACAGGAUUAGAUACCCCGGUAGUCCCUGUCUCUUAUAC